Molecule: transfer RNA, 72 nt
Filed under: Bos taurus (domestic cattle)
Lineage: Eukaryota; Metazoa; Chordata; Mammalia; Artiodactyla; Bovidae
Also listed under: 4 other names
Rfam family: tRNA
About the family: Transfer RNA (tRNA) molecules are approximately 80 nucleotides in length. Their secondary structure includes four short double-helical elements and three loops (D, anti-codon, and T loops).
Source: Rfam by way of RNAcentral
UCCCUGGUGGCUCAGUGGUGGAGAAUCUGCCUGCAAAUUCAGGAGACACAGGUUCGAUCCCUGGCCUGGGAA